GCCCGGAUGGCUCAAUGGUAGAGCAUCUGUCUUCGGAACAGAAGGCUGGGGUUCGAGUCCCCCUUCGGGUG
This 71-nucleotide transfer RNA is filed under the name Thalassiosira oceanica. It matches the Rfam family "tRNA". Rfam says of the family: Transfer RNA (tRNA) molecules are approximately 80 nucleotides in length. Their secondary structure includes four short double-helical elements and three loops (D, anti-codon, and T loops). The record is from Rfam by way of RNAcentral. Lineage: Eukaryota; Bacillariophyta; Thalassiosirophyceae; Thalassiosirales; Thalassiosiraceae.